UACGAAGGGGGCUAGCGUUGCUCGGAUUUACUGGGCGUAAAGGGCGCGUAGGCGGUCGUGACAAGUCACUUGUGAAAUCUCCGGGCUUAACUCGGAACGGUCAAGUGAUACUGUCGGACUAGAGUACAGAAGGGGCAACUGGAAUUCUCGGUGUAGCGGUGAAAUGCGUAGAUAUCGAGAGGAACACCUGCGGCGAAGGUGGGUUGCUGGGCUGAUACUGACGCUGAGGCGCGAAAGCCAGGGGAGCGAACGGG
RNAcentral lists this ribosomal RNA (254 nucleotides) under uncultured bacterium. Its description in RNAcentral is "partial 16S ribosomal RNA". It matches the Rfam family "Bacterial small subunit ribosomal RNA", at positions 524 to 776 of the family's 1533-position model. The record is from RNAcentral.